GAUGAACGCUAGCUACAGGCUUAACACAUGCAAGUCGAGGGGCAGCAUGGUCUUAGCUUGCUAAGGCCGAUGGCGACCGGCGCACGGGUGAGUAACACGUAUCCAACCUGCCGUCUACUCUUGGACAGCCUUCUGAAAGGAAGAUUAAUACAAGAUGGCAUCAUGAGUCCGCAUGUUCACAUGAUUAAAGGUAUUCCGGUAGACGAUGGGGAUGCGUUCCAUUAGAUAGUAGGCGGGGUAACGGCCCACCUAGUCUUCGAUGGAUAGGGGUUCUGAGAGGAAGGUCCCCCACAUUGGAACUGAGACACGGUCCAAACUCCUACGGGAGGCAGCAGUGAGGAAUAUUGGUCAAUGGGCGAGAGCCUGAACCAGCCAAGUAGCGUGAAGGAUGACUGUCCUAUGGGUUGUAAACUUCUUUUAUAAAGGAAUAAAGUCGGGUAUGGAUACCCGUUUGCAUGUACUUUAUGAAUAAGGAUCGGCUAACUCCGUGCCAGCAGCCG
Molecule: ribosomal RNA, 500 nt
Filed under: uncultured bacterium
Lineage: Bacteria
Description: bacterial SSU rRNA
Rfam family: Bacterial small subunit ribosomal RNA
Source: RNAcentral